This 1079-nucleotide ribosomal RNA is filed under the name Trechispora torrendii. Its description in RNAcentral is "Trechispora sp. RC-2019d partial large subunit ribosomal RNA". It matches the Rfam family "Eukaryotic large subunit ribosomal RNA", at positions 36 to 1141 of the family's 3401-position model. The record is from RNAcentral. Lineage: Eukaryota; Fungi; Basidiomycota; Agaricomycetes; Trechisporales; Hydnodontaceae.
UAGCAUAUCAAUAGCGAGAAAAGAAACUAACAAGGAUUCCCCUAGUAACUGCGAGUGAAGCGGGAAAAGCUCAAAUUUCAAAUCUGGCGGUCAUGCCGUCCGAGUUGUAUUCUGGAGAAGCGUUUUCCGUGCCGGACCGUGUACAAGUCCCUUGGAACAGGGCGUCGUAGAGGGUGAGAAUCCCGUCUUUGACACGGACCACCGGCGCUAUGCGAUGCGCUCUCGACGAGUCGAGUUGUUUGGGAAUGCAGCUCAAAAUGGGUGGUAAAUUCCAUCUAAAGCUAAAUAUUGGCGAGAGACCGAUAGCGAACAAGUACCGUGAGGGAAAGAUGAAAAGCACUUUGGAAAGAGAGUAAAACAGUACGUGAAAUUGUUGAAAGGGAAACGCUUGAAGUCAGUCGCGUCUGCCGGAACUCAGCCUUGCUUCUGCUUGGCGCACUUUCCGGCCCGACGGGCCAGCAUCGGUUUUGGGUGUCGGACACUGGCGAGGGGAAGGUGGCAGCUCCGGCUGUGUUAUAGCCCCUCGUCGCAAACGCCGCCUGGGACCGAGGAAUCCGGCGCAAGCCUGGGAUGCUGGCGUAAUGGCUUUAAACGACCCGUCUUGAAACACGGACCAAGGAGUGCUACGUGCUCGCGAGUGUUUGGGUGGAAAACCCAGACGCGCAAUGAAAGUGAAAGUCGAUACCCCUUGCGGGGGCACCGACGCCCGAGCCUGAUGUUUUCGGAAGGCCUUGCGGUAGAGCGAGUGCGUUGCGACCCGAAAGAUGGUGAACUAUUCCUGAGCAGGGCGAAGCCAGAGGAAACUCUGGUGGAGGCUCGUAGCGGUUCUGACGUGCAAAUCGAUCGCAGGACUUGGGUAUAGGGGCGAAAGACUAAUCGAACCAUCUAGUAGCUGGUUCCUGCCGAAGUUUCCCUCAGGAUAGCAGAAGCUCAUAUCAGAUUUAUGUGGUAAAGCGAAUGAUUAGAGGCCUUGGGGUUGAAACAACCUUAACCUAUUCUCAAACUUUAAAUAUGUAAGGACGAGCCGUCUCUUGAUUGGACCGCUCGACGAUUGAGAGCUUCUAGUGGCCAUUUUUGGU